RNAcentral lists this ribosomal RNA (156 nucleotides) under Ricinus communis (castor bean). RNAcentral's name for it is "5.8S ribosomal RNA". It matches the Rfam family "5.8S ribosomal RNA". From Rfam's summary of the family: 5.8S ribosomal RNA (5.8S rRNA) is a component of the large subunit of the eukaryotic ribosome. Lineage: Eukaryota; Viridiplantae; Streptophyta; Magnoliopsida; Malpighiales; Euphorbiaceae. The record is from Rfam by way of RNAcentral.
GACUCUCGGCAACGGAUAUCUCGGCUCUCGCAUCGAUGAAGAACGCAGCAAAAUGUGGUACUUAGUGUGAAUUGCAGAAUCCCGUGAAUCAUCGAGUUUUAUAACGCAAGUUGCGCCCGAAGCCUUUCGGCCGAGGGCACGCCUCCCUGGGUGUCA